Molecule: ribosomal RNA, 468 nt
Filed under: uncultured bacterium
Lineage: Bacteria
Description: bacterial SSU rRNA
Rfam family: Bacterial small subunit ribosomal RNA
Source: RNAcentral
UCCUACGGGGGGCAGCAGUGGGGAAUAUUGCGCAAUGGGCGAAAGCCUGACGCAGCGACGCCGCGUGGGUGAUGAAGGCCUUCGGGUCGUAAAACCCUGUCGGGUGGAACGAAUCUCCGCCCCUUGAAUAGGGGGGCGGAUUGACGGUACCACCGAAGGAAGCCCCGGCUAACUACGUGCCAGCAGCCGCGGUAAUACGUAGGGGGCGAGCGUUGUUCGGAUUUACUGGGCGUAAAGAGCGCGUAGGUGGUUCGAUCAGUCGGAGGUGAAAGCCCUCGGCUCAACCGAGGAUCCGCGUCCGAUACUGUCGAACUUGAGUGCAGGAGAGGAGAGCGGAAUUCCCAGUGUAGCGGUGAAAUGCGUAGAUAUUGGGAGGAACACCGGUGGCGAAGGCGGCUCUCUGGACUGCUACUGACACUGAGGCGCGAAAGCUAGGGGAGCAAACGGGAUUAGAUACCCUAGUAGUCC